UGCAGAGGACGUCGCGGUAAG
RNAcentral lists this unclassified non-coding RNA (21 nucleotides) under Chlamydomonas reinhardtii. RNAcentral describes it as "small RNA Cre_3008". The record is from RNAcentral. Lineage: Eukaryota; Viridiplantae; Chlorophyta; Chlorophyceae; Chlamydomonadales; Chlamydomonadaceae.